Molecule: unclassified non-coding RNA, 209 nt
Filed under: Hevea brasiliensis (rubber tree)
Lineage: Eukaryota; Viridiplantae; Streptophyta; Magnoliopsida; Malpighiales; Euphorbiaceae
Source: RNAcentral
AGAAAAAUGCUAAAAAGGUCUUUUUCUUAAACAUUAGUCAAAGUUGAUGCGAGAAGUGAUGAACUCCUAACCAAAAAAGGAGAAGUUAUGCAGUUUGGGAUGUUAAAGCUUGAGGUUAUCUUAGGUUAAUUAUGAGGGUUGCAAAUUAUGUAAUUAGGAAGUAGAGAAAUAAUAUAUAAUCAAAUUGGUUUUCAGUUAGUAACUUUGAG